This 528-nucleotide ribosomal RNA is filed under the name Triticum aestivum (bread wheat). Its description in RNAcentral is "partial small subunit ribosomal RNA". The record is from RNAcentral. Lineage: Eukaryota; Viridiplantae; Streptophyta; Magnoliopsida; Poales; Poaceae.
CGCUGUGUUCUCUCGGCAAUGCCCACCUUCGCCCUCACAGUGCUGCGAGCGCCCAAAAAGUUUUACAAGGAAGUGGACAGGGCAAGAAGAAGGUUCCUCUGGGCGCAAGACGAAGUGUCCACUGGUGGAAAGUGCAAGGUGCGAUGGCAGGCGGUGACCGCGCCAGCGCGCGCAGGAGGCCUGGGCAUCCAUGAUCUGGCGAAGUUCGCCCGGGCCCUCCGCCUGCGAUGGCUAUGGCUUGCCUGGACGCAGCCCUCCCACCCCUGGGUUGGCACCGGCUCUCCAUGCGACGACGCCGAUCGCGCCCUGUUCGCUGCCUGCACGGUCAUCACCGUCAGGGACGGCUCCACGGCUUCCUUCUGGCACUCUCCCUGGCUCAACGGCAGACAGCUAUGUCAGGCAUAUCCCGCAGUGUUUGCUCACUCCAUCCGCAAGAACAGAUCCGUUCAAGAAGCCCUGCAUCAGGACCGAUGGGUACUCGACCUCCGCCAUGGUGAUCAUGAAAACAUCAUGCACACGGUGCUGUAG